UACAGAGGGUGCGAGCGUUGUCCGGAAUCACUGGGCGUAAAGGGCGCGUAGGUGGCGACCCAAGUCGUUGGUGAAAGCUCGCCGCUCAACGGCGAGUCGGCCACUGAUACUGGGUUGCUGGAGCACUGUAGAGGCAGAUGGAAUUCCUGGUGUAGCGGUGGAAUGCGCAGAUAUCAGGAGGAACACCGGUGGCGAAGGCGGGUCUCUGGGCCGUUACUGACGCUGAGGAGCGAAAGCGUGGGGAGCGAACAGG
This 253-nucleotide ribosomal RNA is filed under the name uncultured bacterium. RNAcentral's name for it is "partial 16S ribosomal RNA". It matches the Rfam family "Bacterial small subunit ribosomal RNA", at positions 524 to 776 of the family's 1533-position model. The record is from RNAcentral.